GACGAGCGCUGGCGGCGUGCUUAACACAUGCAAGUCGAACGGAAAGGCCCUUCGGGGUACUCGAGUGGCGAACGGGUGAGUAACACGUGGGUGAUCUGCCCUGCACUUUGGGAUAAGCCUGGGAAACUGGGUCUAAUACCGAAUAGGACCACGCGCUUCAUGGUGUGUGGUGGAAAGCUUUUGCGGUGUGGGAUGGGCCCGCGGCCUAUCAGCUUGUUGGUGGGGUAAUGGCCUACCAAGGCGACGACGGGUAGCCGGCCUGAGAGGGUGACCGGCCACACUGGGACUGAGAUACGGCCCAGACUCCUACGGGAGGCAGCAGUGGGGAAUAUUGCACAAUGGGCGCAAGCCUGAUGCAGCGACGCCGCGUGAGGGAUGACGGCCUUCGGGUUGUAAACCUCUUUCACCAGGGACGAAGCGUAAGUGACGGUACCUGGAGAAGAAGCACCGGCCAACUACGUG
Molecule: ribosomal RNA, 462 nt
Filed under: uncultured bacterium
Lineage: Bacteria
Description: partial 16S ribosomal RNA
Rfam family: Bacterial small subunit ribosomal RNA
Source: RNAcentral